UUUUUUUUUUUUUAAACCAUAGCUGCCCUGGAAGGUGUGGUAUGCUGCUACUGCUGGCUGUGUCACUGUAGUUGCGAUGGCUAGGGUUUUCUCUGUGUUACUGGCUAUCUUUUUUCCUUGCAAGACACCUGCUCAAGGUCUCUGCCUGUUUUUAAAUUGGACAGUUUGCCUUUUUUAAAUAUCCAUUUUUAUGUUUGUGGGUAUUUUGCCUGAAUGCAUGUGUGUGGGUCAUUAGCAUGUCUGGUGCCUAAGAAGGUCAGAAGAGGGUGGGUCCCCUGGAACUGGAGUUGCCUAAUGUUGCAAGCAGCCAUGCGGGUGCUGGAAACCCAGCCCAGGUCCUCUUCAAGAGUACGGUGCUGGUUGAGCCAUCUCUCCAGCCCCUCAUCUGUUGUUUUACAGUAAAUUCUAGACAUUCUUAGCUAACAUAGUGACUUUCCUGGGCUCACUCUGUGAAGUGUGUUCUGUCACAUGUAGCCAUUGAAAUCAGCUCCUUUUGGUUGUCAGUAGAUGGUCUGAUAGAUGUUUGAGCGUGCGUGUGUGUGUGUGUGUGUGUGUGUGUGU
This 561-nucleotide long non-coding RNA is filed under the name Mus musculus (house mouse). RNAcentral's name for it is "long non-coding RNA chr5:144855201-144855762". Lineage: Eukaryota; Metazoa; Chordata; Mammalia; Rodentia; Muridae. The record is from RNAcentral.